Molecule: long non-coding RNA, 432 nt
Organism: Gastrolobium bilobum
Lineage: Eukaryota; Viridiplantae; Streptophyta; Magnoliopsida; Fabales; Fabaceae
Exons: 3
Source: RefSeq, a predicted model, not a curated record
AGAAAAUUCUGGUUGUAACUGUUUUCCCUAGUUGAAUUGACUCUGAUUGAAUUAUCUUUCUGCAUACACUUGGCCAAGCCUUGGUCGAACUCUUGCCCCCUUGCAUGCAGUGGAACCGGUCUCUUGGAGUAUAAGAAAAAGUGUUUGGGCUGUCCUUGCUUGAUUGUGGUUCUUUGAACGGUUGAGAACAAGUGCACGUAACUCUUAUUGAGUGGGCUGAAUUUUGGUGUUGUUGAUUAUUGGUUGGACAUAAGGAAGAUAAAGAAAUAUUUGAUAAAGCAUGUCAUUGGAAGUACUUGGUUGAUGCUCUGUUGUUUGAGGAUUACUGCUGUUAGUUCUGUUUCUGUUGGAUUAGAUGCUGAAAAAUUAUAUGCAAUAAGAUGUUAUGAAGAUUAGUAAACUUGUUUUGGGAAUUGAAUUCUGAAAAUUUGA